GCAUUCCCUCUAGGAGUCUCUAGGAGAUCAUUGCCAAGAAAUGGUCCAAUCCCCUUUCCCGAGAGGAAACACCGUAUGCUUCACAUGUCAUAAGAGCAUACCCAUGUGACCAAUGAGGAAAAGGCCAAGGUGAGGUGAUAUGUGCUGCUGCGAGAGGAAACAAGAUAAUAAAGUUCCAUACAUGCCUGAAUCCAGUAUUUGAGCAUGGAUUGUUGUUGGGAGAGGUUUAUGAUUCAGGACAUGGACAACCUGAGAGAUGGAGGAGGUGCUCUACAUCUUGUUCAACCUUGGUGCAUCGUGAGUCAGUAUUUCAAAAAGUGUAGGGCAACAGUGCCAUCAUGUGUCUGACAGUGUUUUUUUUGUUCAGGUGGUGAAAAUAAAUUUUGAGCACUCAAGAAGAACAGGAAAUCGGAGGUCUACUCAGACAAGAGGACAGAGCUGUUGCCAGACUGUAACUAAAUUCUUAAAAUGCACCAGAAAGUCAAGAAUCCAACUCAAACCAACCCCAAAUAACACCUGUGUUCUGCUUUGUUUCAAUAUAUGGAUCCUCCAUUGCCCAAAAUACAAAUGAUAGCCUUCUCUAAAAUCAAAAGAAAUUAUGAUUUAAUAAGGCAGAAAUAUAUUAUAUAUAUAUAUUAUACAGAAUUAUACAGAAUUUGGGUAAAUAUCUCAAUGGAUCAGAUAACAAUUGCUGUACGGUCAAAUUUCUUUCUAAAGAAGAUAAGGAAAAUCAGCGCUUACUGGAUUAUACUGAGAGGUGUACAUUUAAUUUUUAUUCAUAUUGGAUGGAAACACAGUCGCCUCACAGCUAGAAGGUCCUGGCUUCGAUUCCGCCCAGUGGCCUUUCUGUGUGGAGUCUGCAUGUUCUCCCCGUGUCUGCGUGGGUUCUCUCCGGGUUCUCUGCCUUCCUCCCACAGUCCAAAGACAUGCUCUGGGGAUCAGGUUGAUUGGGGACUCUAAAUUGCCUGUAUGUGUGAAUGUUGUCAUUAAUGCUCAAACUCAUAGUAUUUAAUAUCUAUAAAACAUUGAUCGAUAAGGCUACCAUUAGAUAAAUUACAUUACAGGCCAUUUAGCUGACGCUUUUAUCCAAAGCAACUUAUAUUGCAUUUUUAACCCAUGGCUUUUACAUUUAGGAUUUAGGAUUAGUCCUACGAAAUUUUCUUGCGAGUUCACAGGAUUCCGAGUGACUAAGAACUCUAGUGGCUAUCCAGGAUUCAUAGAACCGUAGUUACAUACGUAACUUCAACUUUCAUCCUUACUGAACGCCAGAGGCCACAGUGUUCACACUGGAUGACUUUUGUCAACAGAGUCACGAGGAUUACAAGUAGCCACCUUGUAUUGCUCAGGCAGAGGAAUUGGGCCAAAUAACCCUCCCCAGUGGGUGAGGGGUGGCACCGUUCACUCUGUAGUGUUUGUGAAUGUGGUCGGUGCAGCACCUGUAUCCUUCAUAGGCAUACCUCUCAGGACUGCCCACUUAGCCAAUUAUCUAAUGCUGCGUUCACACCAAAAGCGAAGCGAGUCAGUCGCUCGAGUAGAUUCCAUUCAAAGUUAAUGCACAGACGCGACUGGAAGCCAAGCCGACACAACAGGUCAUCAAACUGACAGUACAGCAUGGCGAAAAGUUGCUUCGCUUUUGGUGUGAACGCAGCAUUACGGGUCUAAACCCAAUUUAAACGCUCAAGCUCAC
Molecule: long non-coding RNA, 1687 nt
Organism: Gasterosteus aculeatus aculeatus (three-spined stickleback)
Lineage: Eukaryota; Metazoa; Chordata; Actinopteri; Perciformes; Gasterosteidae
Source: Ensembl